AGUGAACGCUGGCGGUAUGCCUAACACAUGCAAGUCGAACGGCAGCACAGUAAGAUCUUGCUCUUACGGGUGGCGAGUGGCGGACGGGUGAGGAAUACAUCGGAAUCUACUUUUUCGUGGGGGAUAACGUAGGGAAACUUACGCUAAUACUGCAUACGACCUACGGGUGAAAGCAGGGGAUCUUCGGACCUUUCGCGAUUGAAUGAGCCGAUGUCGGAUUAGCUAGUUGGCGGGGUAAAGGCCCACCAAGGCGACGAUCCGUAGCUGGUCUGAGAGGAUGAUCAGCCACACUGGAACUGAGACACGGUCCAGACUCCUACGGGAGGCAGCAGUGGGGAAUCUUGGACAAUGGGCGAAAGCCUGAUCCAGCAAUACCGCGUGGGUGAAGAAGGCCUUCGGGUUGUAAAGCCCUUUUGUUGGGAAAGAAAAGCAGCAGGUUAAUACCCCGCUGUUCUGACGGUACCCAAAGAAUAAGCACCGGCUAACUUCGUG
This 492-nucleotide ribosomal RNA is filed under the name uncultured bacterium. RNAcentral's name for it is "partial 16S ribosomal RNA". It matches the Rfam family "Bacterial small subunit ribosomal RNA", at positions 29 to 507 of the family's 1533-position model. The record is from RNAcentral.